CCUAACUGUUCCUGUAAGUCACUCUGGAUAAGAGCGUCUGCUAAAUGACUAAAA
Non-coding RNA from Salmo salar (Atlantic salmon), 54 nucleotides. The record is from Rfam. Lineage: Eukaryota; Metazoa; Chordata; Actinopteri; Salmoniformes; Salmonidae.